RNAcentral lists this ribosomal RNA (257 nucleotides) under uncultured Glomus. RNAcentral describes it as "partial 18S ribosomal RNA". It matches the Rfam family "Eukaryotic small subunit ribosomal RNA", at positions 624 to 885 of the family's 1831-position model. The record is from RNAcentral. Lineage: Eukaryota; Fungi; Glomeromycota; Glomeromycetes; Glomerales; Glomeraceae.
AAGCUCGUAGUUGAAUUUCGGGAUCAAUAUGUUGGUCGUGCCAUUGGUACGCACUGGCAUUAUUGGUUUCUACCUUCUGAAGAACCUCGAUGUCAUUAAUUUGGUGUCUUGGGGAAUCAGGACUGUUACUUUGAAAAAAUUAGAGUGUUUAAAGCAAGCUCGCGCUUGAAUACAUUAGCAUGGAAUAAUGAAAUAGGACGUUUGAUUCUAUUUUGUUGGUUUCUAGGAUCGACGCAAUGAUUAAUAGGGAUAGUGGG